UCAGGAGCAGGAGCAAAGACUCGCAUAAUUGGGUUGUUAAUGGUAGUGAUACUAGUUGCAAAACCAGGUGUAGCUCUAUGUGAAAUGUCUUGCCCUCCAGUGGUGCAUGAGGUAGCUCCAUGCCUGGAUUACAUUACCGACAAAGCAGAUCAACCAUCAGCUGAAUGUUGUAAUGGAAUGAAAACACUUGAUGGGCAAGCCAAAACAAAACCUGAAAGGCAAGCUGCGUGCAACUGCAUCAAGGAUGUAUUGAAAAAUUUUCAAUAUGAUUCCAAUCGCCUUGUUCAACUUCCAAGCAAAUGUGGCUUAUCCUUCACUAUUCCU
Molecule: long non-coding RNA, 324 nt
Filed under: Jatropha curcas
Lineage: Eukaryota; Viridiplantae; Streptophyta; Magnoliopsida; Malpighiales; Euphorbiaceae
Description: long non-coding RNA (JCUR_LNC002513)
Source: RNAcentral